Long non-coding RNA from Xenia sp. Carnegie-2017, 1229 nucleotides. RefSeq lists it as uncharacterized. Lineage: Eukaryota; Metazoa; Cnidaria; Anthozoa; Malacalcyonacea; Xeniidae. The record is from RefSeq and is a predicted model, not a curated record. The transcript is spliced from 2 exons.
AUUACGUCUCCGCUUAUAACUGGAGUUAUCUUGCUUUGUGCAAAAUUUCCAAGUGAUGCUAUAGUGUUAAGAAUGAGAAGACAUUAGUCGUUGCUCUCUGUUGCUCACAUGUUUUUGGAAGAUUAUAAUGCAGUGGGAACAUUAAAUUAGUUCUUUUCGAAGCCAACUAUGCGACAUUUGCUUAACAUGGAUGGAGUUUGAACUGCUGAAGAAAAGUUCAGUUAUUAAUUAGCUCAGCAAGUGAAAAGGAUUCAACCGGGAUCGCUUUUGACGACGUUAUAUGUAUGUUGUGGAACGUAGCAGUGUGUUUACUUUUAAAACUUUCCAUGUGUAACUUGGAUUGUUAAAUUAUUUUGAUCAAGUAGGUUUGGAAAACACUCGAUCUCUUAGAUCCUUUUUACACUACACUGCACACGAAAAUUUCCAUUUCAUCGAGGUUUGUGGAAAGAAAAGAAAAAAGUGCACAAGGUCCACGGUGUUAGUGGGAUUUCUAUCUUAUAGUCGGUUUUGCUCUGUUGACAAUUCUCAAAUGUGCUUGACUGAAACAAUUUGCUUUAAAUAACUUUUGACUGAAAUCGUGCUAGACAUUGAAACUUUAUUGUAAGCUGGAUCAGUUGCUUUCGCUGUUGUAGCUGCAGGCCGUAAAACGAGCAAAGUAAUUAGAGAAGACCCAAUAUAUAUUAUUGUAAUAAUAAGAAUUCGAUUUCAAUGGAACAGUUUAAAUUUUUGUACCUGUCAAAUCUACGCAAUUUAGCAUCGAACGUAAAUUUCUCUCGCAUUGUUCUUCUCUAUGAAAUCGUUAAAGUAAAAUGAUGUCAUUAAAUGGAAUGUUAGAAAAUAUUGCUGUUAUGCGUUCACUUAUAUUCCUUGGAGUUUUUAGACGAUGAGAGAUCCCUUUAAGAAGAUUGAAAACUUAUUACUGCUAUCGUUAAAAAGUAGAUCCUGUGCAAUUGUGUCAUCUCGCUUCUCUUCCAAACGACGUCUGCUUAUACGAUCAUCGACAAAGAGUGGACGAAAUCUCUUAAAAUUUCGGUAGAUUUUUGGCACAUUCAGAAACUUGGUAGAGUGAACAGUAUGCAACAUGUUCUACAGUUCACUUCACUUACAAACAACAGCGCGAAGGAAGGUUUACAACGCUAAAAUCGAUUGUGUAAUAUUUACUACAUGAAAACAUUCAGCCAUUAAAUCAAAAAUAUUUUCGGGUAUGAAUAUUCAUAUUCCUGUAAAAA